GGGGGCCGCGCGCCUGCUCGGGGGCGGGCGCGAGCCGGCGGGGCUGGCGCGCGCAAGCUGCGCGGGUUGCAGCGGGUGCGCUGCAGCAAAGCGCGGAGGACGCAGGGUGGGGCGCGCGCGGGCGUGUGCACGAGGUGCAGAGUCUCACAACUGUUCCUGGAGCUGUGCUGCCAUGAAGCAUCUGUGAAAUGAAGUGACUCGUUGGGUCAAUCACAUGGCUGUUUUCUUGGAGAGAGCACAUUUCAGGCGAGCGCGUUCCAGCUGCCGUGACCUCGGGGACUUUUGCAUGGUUCUUCUGACAAGUGCAAGAUAGCCGGUGGGAACGAGACCCGUAAUUAAUCCCCUGAAUGCACAGCGCAAGCAGGAAUGGCUCUUGGACAGAGAAGCUCUUCAGUUGCUGCAAGGAGGAAACGUAUUUACUGAUGAUGGAGGAGGAAGGUGUUUGCCUUGCUGGAGAGGUGUGGGACUGCCAUGGCUUUAUUUCCGGAAAAUGAAGAUAAUUGUAAGCCGGCAUCACUUUCUGAAGGUACAAGAACAAGGGUCUGGGCUGGCUGUGAAGGGCUAAGUGAUGUGUAAAGAACACUCUCUCAUCUCUCUUGCCUUCGGUGUGAGCUUGUCUGUGGUGCAUCCCAGCUGAACAGGAUGAAAGGAUCCGUAUUCAGCGCAUAACACCUACAGCUCAAGCCAGAAAAAGAGCCCAGGAAAAAAACAAACAGCAAAACCCUCCUGCUUUGAAAUUCCCUGAUGUUGCUUACUUUCACAGCUGCUUCAAGGACCAAAGCUUUUAAAAUCUUAGAGAAGACACUAAGAGCAGCUGAUUCACCCAAUAAUGUUUCUUUAAACUGGUUUCAUGUUUUCCACACAGAAUCUUGGGGGUCAGCAUUCUUCCUUGUUUCACAACCGGUGAAACAGAGACACAGAAAGGGCAGAUGACAUAUUCAAGAUCACAUAAUGAAUCCUGAGAGUCUCAAGAACUACAAGAUGAGGUCCUGAUUUUGAGCUAAUGGAUAGAAUCCUAAAUUCACAGUAUUUCCCAGAACUGUCCUGCUGUGGGAAGCCCAGCCCGUACGACUUUAUUUAGUAGAGUCUUUGAUUUUUCCUUUUUUUCCCAAGGAAGAUGAAUCCAGGAGAUCCCGUGAACCUUUUGGGGUUGUCAGAGCACUUUUUGUAAGAGUAAAGACUUGUCUCACUGCCUCCCUUCUGUUUGACCGUGACCUGCGAAGGACUCCGGAGCACCAAGAGAGGACGUGAGACCGUGACACAUGGCUUAGGGUGCGAUAAACCAGCCCUUGCUCUGGGCCUCUGAAAAACUGCAGAGACUGUCGGAAACACAGAGAGGGGUGGUCUGCAAGUAAGAAAAGAGGGGGCUGACAUGAGGGGAGAGAACGAGAAGGGAAGACAGCAAGAAGAAUUUGUGAGCACGCGAGGUUCAAAGACAUUCCUUGGCUUCUUCUGCCUCCUGUGCCGGCUUGGCCAGAGCUGGGGCAGUGAGGACCUCACUUAAUCCGCGCUUCCCUUUCCUCUUGCACUGGGAAUGGAAGAGUUGUGUGUGACCCUGCUCUCCCCCUCUUUCCCUCUCCAUUUCCUUUCCCAGCAGCUCUCUCUGGGAUACGCAGCCAUCUGGCUGUUUAUUGCAGCGUGAGCUGAACUCUUAGAUGGAUCCUUUGGAAUUUGGUCCUGGUUUAACAAUUUCUCUCUCGCUCCUUUGCGUUUUCUAUACGUCUCAUUUGUGCCCCUGGAGCCACUAUUGCAUGAGUGCACUCUGGCCUUUUAUAUCCCACGUAUUUUCAUGUUUCCUCUUCUCCCCAGAGCUUCUCCACAUUCCUCUUUGGUUUCUAUUAUUUUUAUUCAAUUUUUUCUCACGUUUCUCUGCUUCCUGUUAGCACAGGGAGCACCAUCCCGCUCUGAAAGAGUUGACUGAGCGUAGGCAUCAGCCUCCCUCCUGCUCUAAUCCCAUCCGUCCUGGGUCAGGACACUGACCUCAGGGGCAUUGCUGGAGGCGGAAAGGGAAGAUGCAAACGGUUCCAGAGGAAGUUCAGCCUUGAAGUUCAGAAUAAUGAGCAAAAAUCCUUAGCCUCUGUCGCUUUAUGCGACGAGUAAAAUGCACAGUACAGUCUGCUUAAUCCCUUCACUUCUAGGAGCAAGCAAAGAUGCUGGUAAAGAGACAGGGAAACAAAAAGGAGCAGCUUCCAUUAAAAAACUAUCCUAUAUUGGUAAGAGAGCAUGAGGUACUGAGAUUAUAAUGAUAGUCUCUCCUGGGUACUUUCAUACUUCUUUUUCCUUCCAGGAUAUCUCAUAAGAUAAUGUUAACCACGCAGCUGCUGCAAAUAGAUUUCUUGGUGGACUUCUCAUGAAAGAACAGAUUGAUGCUGUGAAAUGAAAUCCUCAUUUGUGUCUGGUGGUGAGAUAAACUAGGAAUAUUAGAGCACUAUUGUUCUAGGCUCUUUGACUAUUUAAGAUUUUUUUCCUUUUUAUUUCAGUCCUCUUGCUAUACCAGUGAACUUCCCAUAGUUGUUUGCUUGUGCUGGGUGCCGUGGGGGCAGGACUGAAGAUAAAGCUGAUGCUUCUUGUACCAUCACAAGUGUAGUAUGUGAGGGAUGGAUGGUGUGCUGGGAUCUGUGCCGAGGGGCUGAAUGGCCACUGACAGCUUCACAGUGGCAAAGGAUGUGGACCCGGAAUAAUUAGACAACUGUGUCUCAUUGCAGCUCAUGACAGCUUCCAGAUGCUGCUGUAAGUGAUUCCAGAUGUGUUCUUCAGGACCUCUGGUUGUCGAGAGCACCCGUGCACUGGGAGGUGGCACAGCUCAGCAGAUGGGUGAAUCCUCCGUUUCAUCGAAUGAAGGCUUUAUGGAUGCUUUCCUGAAGAUGCUGUUUCACCCCAAAAUCACCAGCCAGAGCAGAUCAAGGACAUCUGCAUUGCACCAUCUGGAUAACUUUAUGGACUUGCAACUGCAAAUGUUGCCAGAAGGGGGAACCGAAGCUCCAUCUCCCAACAGCUGCGCUGGCACAACUGGCAGGCACGUACUUAUUAAAAGCUUUGGGUUCAGUUACUUCUUUCCCUCCUUCUUGUGAGGCAGCUGCUGGAAAGAACUCUUGGUAACAUUCAGAGUGGAUUAAUAUUCUAUUAGUUCAGUUUUACCAAAAUCCCAUGAUCUAAAAAUCACAUCAGGUCUGAAGGGACUUUUAAGUACUCGUUUAAAAUCAUGACGUUUCUAUUAUUACAGAUGCUGCUUGAAAGAAGCAUCUUCUGCUUUUUUUGUUCAGUCUUUCAGUGAUUUGAUUUCUCAGCAGUCAGAGUUUAUCUGAUAGAGAUGUGAUGAUAUUUCUAGUAACAUAACUGAGGAAACUGGUACUUUUAGAAGAUUGUCAGCACUACAAAUCUUACCAUGAAUUAUUGAGCCAGCAGCACUUUAGACCUCAACACUGUUGGCUGCCUGAAGGGACAACGGGGUGAGGCCACAUUUCAGAGGCAUUGAUCAAGAUGCAAGCCCCACACAUAAGGCUGCUGCUUUUCGGUUGUACAUGCAAUUCUGCAGAGAGCGGCUUAAGCAGAGAACAGCAACAAUAAAGGUAGGGGUGUGUUGCAAUUUUCCUGGGGUCACAGGGCUGGCAAGUGGCAGAGCCAGGAAUUGCAGCUGCCUCCUAAAACAGAGUUGUUUGGAGGUGGCACCGUGCCUUUCCAGGGCACAGCAAUGAUCAUUUAUUAAUUGUUUCAUUUAGCAACAGAUCCAGUAUCUGGCUCUCCCAUUUUUCACUUCUCCAUCCCCUCCCUUCAACCUCAUUUUCAAGCCACAACAAAUUUUUUACCUGUCUUUGGGGAAGAGAAGUCUGCAGAGAGACUCACAGCCUUAAAUGUAAUGGAAACAUUUGCUAAUGAAUGAGCCCUCGUUAUACACGUUACAAGGAAACACUUAAUUGACAGUGACCACCGGAUAACAGGGUUUAAUUAAUAAAUCUAUGUGGCGUCAUAUACACCACAGGAAGGGAUUACAGGGGUUAAUGUGUCUGUCUGUUGGACUUUUAUGGAAGAGUUGUGUUGCCUGUCUUUUAAUGCGAAUAACCCGUGUGUCUGUGACCCGGCACUUGCAAAGAGAGAGUCACUUGGUCCGGAGAACACAGCAGCCCUGUCUGAGUGCUUGGACGGGGCUUGGAUGGCAUCUGAGGCCGAAGCACACCAAAGGAACAUUUGUUUUCUGGCCUCUUUAGCCACUGUCUGGGUUUCUAUGGUGCUAUCUAUUCUAACUGCACACAGCACCCACACCACAAACAGGAUCUUAAACUUAUCAUUGUGAUGACGGGUUCAUUAGUGCCUCAGACAAAUACUUGCAAGCUUUAGCAGCAGGGUGUGCAGUAAGGGGAUUCUCAGCUGAUGGGUUUUGGUAGCUCUAUGGAAACAUUAGUGAAGCUGCACUGACCAGCACCACCUACCCCUCAGACAGGCUCUGGUGGUGCCACUGAAGUCUGUCACAGAGGACGGAUUGCUCUGAUGUGCGAGCUGCUCUUGGAGUUUGCAGUGUAGUGUGGAAAGGUCAGAAAGAGUCCAGGACUCCUAAUCAGUCUGUCUUUUGAUAACAUUGUCAUCCUUUUCUAUUUGCAUGUAUUUUGAACAGUUAUAAGCACUCAUUUUAGGGCUCAGAGUUUAUUGGUUUAUGAAGCACAAGGGGGUAAUGUUCACAAAUACCACCAGCGUGGGAACACUCCACCUUUCCCCACGCUGCAGAUUGCUUGGGUGCUGGUCACCAAAGCCUUCAAAAAUCCCCCGCAGAGGAGACAUAAAGCAGUAGCUGACAACAUUUACAUUUGCCCAGAAGACCUAUAUCUCCAAAUAUAAGUUGGCUAAGCCCUGCGGAAGCAAACAGAACCAGCAUAUCUGCUGUCACUGAUGUGUACAAAGUGACAACUGGGCACUAGGUGAACUAAACUGUUCUCUGCUUGAAGUAGCGUCUCGGAUCAAGAGAGCUCUUUGGGAAAUGGAAGAGUUGUGUAUACUCCUGUACGCAGGAGCAUCGUGUAGCAAUGUGGCCAUACCAGUUCUGCUUAAAACAAUUUGGAACGGAAAACUAUUUAAUCUGCUCUUUGACUUUCCCAGCAAUCAUUUGUGGCGUACCAGAACAUCUUAAGUCACUGUACUUUGCCUGGUUGAGGUUGUGCCUUUAAUAUAUAUUAAAAAAAAAAAAUCACACUGGAAGUUUAAAAGAGCAACUUUUCACAAGGAUACUCAGAGCACGUCCUUAUUAUUAACCAGGUACUUAACCUUAUUUAACCAAGAGAACAGUUGGACCAUGGAGACCUAAUUAGCCAGUAAUUAUUCUCAAGCUUUGCCUCAUCUGGAUCACAAAACAGAUCUUUAUCUAGUAUCAGUUUAGUCCCAUUGCAGGCAAUGGAACAGGAUUAAUCUGUUGGACUGGAUCCUGUUUGCAAUCCUAAUAUUCUGGGAGACCCAUCCACAAGCUGCUUUGAUUUACAUGCAAAGCUGAGACGUGACAGUGUCACUCUGGAAUGGCCCAAGAGCUGCUUAAUGUACGUGAAGCUGAUAGCAAGGUUAGCUCUGCUUAUUGAUGUCUGAAGCAGGGCCUCGAGUUUAGAAUUAUUUGCACAUCAAAUGUCUAUAUUCAGGCGUUUCCUGUUUUCAGCGUGAAAAGGCAUGACAUUUGUUUGAAGUUCAUAAAAAGAGAAAGAGGUCUAUAUAGUAAAGCAUAGGCUAUAGUAAGUUGUCCUUAGCAUAACAUUUCGGACUUCUUUUCUUUAUGACAUUCUUUUAGUCCAGUAUUAUGCAAUCAUAAUCUAUAUAGACUUUUUUAUAUUGACCUUAUCUAUUUUAAUAGCAAAAGCACUAACAUUGAGUGGUUACUACAGCAUAACCAACAACUAUUACAAGUCUCUCUAAGACUGUCCUGUCCCCUUUUUAUACUGAAGCAGGCAAUUAGCACAAUGACAAAUAAUUAGUGCUUGCAGGUGGAAAUGUAAGGGUGUGGGUACCCUUUCUUUCUUAUAAAAGGGGGAAAAUGCGCUUCCCUUCUGUUUUGUUAGCCAGAGGUCUAUUUUCAUUCUCUUUCUUACAGCAGGGAGACUUCCAGAGCAGUUAGGUGAUGUUAAAUAGGAAGGAAAGCACUGGCUCAACUCUAGUAAGAUUAUAAGAAGAAAAUAAGAAAUGAGAGAAUAAAAUGGAGGUAAGCUAUGAAGAAGUUUAAAUAUAAAAUAUUAGUGUGCCAAGCAGGAGUGUCUCAGGAGUAGGAAGAAAUAUAAAGGCAGAUUGGUGGCAAAGUGGUAGACAGGGAGCAGGACCAAGCUUUCAGGUAGAGCUCUCUUUUCUGUAUUAAAGUUGUUCUUUAAUUGCUGUUGUUGCUGUCUGCAGUCAGCUGGAGAAAAAUGAGAUGUCUGAGUCAAGGAACUUGGAGGUUGCUCCUUAAAUGCAUGAGGAUUGGGCACAUGUAUCAGUUGUUUGAUGUCCUGCUCCCCCACUUACGUUGAUAACCCAGUGAAAGCUCUGUGGCUUAACCAUUGGCACCAGGGUCUUAACAGCUACGUGUAUUUUAAUGUCCUAAAUUAUACUGGAUGGCAAUUGAAUUAUAGUUGAUUUCUCCCUGCUCCUCGUGGGUACCGGCUGGCUUUGGAGAUAGGGCUUGGCCUGCACGGAGCUGGGAUUAUCCUAAAAGCUCUGUAUGAAAGCACAUUGCAGCAAACCAAAGGGAUGUGAGGCAGAGCCAGUUCUCAUGGAGGUGAGCAGUGGCACAACCUGAUGGGCUGCAGAUUCCUCUGCCUGUUGUUAAGCAAUCCAGAGUGUGACAGAUUUGCUUCCAGAAUGGCACUGGUGCCCUUUGCCUGUGAGCAGGCUCCCUCAGAAGAGGAAAUUUGGCCAGGACCUCUGAAAGGGCUUUUUCACCGUAGCUGAGGUUUUGCUCUUUCCUUGUUUAGAAGGAAUGAAUCUAUUUAUAAGCUUUGCCUCGUAGAAAUCUCUCUGCUGUUCCCUUAGCAUUAGGCAGUGAAAACCCCAGCCUUACCUAUGAGCCCCAGGGACCCACCAGCGCUACAGUAACUUCUGGUGUACUCUGUUAUUUAUCGCCUCCCAGAGCCCCUGUCUGUCCUUGCUUGCCCUUGUAUUAAUUAAGCGUGAGUUUAUCUACACCAGUGAAUUGCAGCAGCGCUUGGGAAGUGAAGAGCAAGACCUGGGCUCUUGUCCUGCGGUAGCUGGGGCUUCUUGCAGGCAAUUCCUGACCCUUGGAAGCCUGAGCGGUUGGUGCAGGACACACAGCAUCUGGGAUCUCUCUGGGGAUGGUGGUCCUGGUUCCGUUCGAAUGGCUGUGUUAAAAUCUGUCUGCAGGUUUGGAUUUGGGGCCUUGCUGCGCCCGGAAUGAUGAAGGCUGUCUAGAAACCAUUUAUAAAGAUCAGUACUUGAUGGCAUCAAUAACUCCCCCUGGGCUUCUUGCAGGCUGAGAUAGUGGCAGAUUGUCAAAAUUACUUAACGUCCUGGAACACCACCCAUUCCGGUAUGAAUAGGCUUCUUGUGUACAGCUCACAUGAUCAUGAUGUUUUUCUGGUGUCUCUAUGGAGACUGGAGACAUUCUUCUGGUCUGUUGGUUUGGGAUCUUUUUUCUUCUUUGC
This is a long non-coding RNA of Columba livia (rock pigeon), 7601 nucleotides long. RefSeq lists it as uncharacterized. The record is from RefSeq and is a predicted model, not a curated record. NCBI's taxonomy places the organism in Eukaryota, Metazoa, Chordata, Aves, Columbiformes, Columbidae. The transcript has 7 exons.